CAGUCGCCGCGGGAAUACGGAGGGUGCAAGCGUUAAUCGGAAUUACUGGGCGUAAAGCGCACGCAGGCGGUCUGUCAAGUCAGAUGUGAAAUCCCCGGGCUUAACCUGGGAACUGCAUUUGAAACUGGCAGGCUAGAGUCUUGUAGAGGGGGGUAGAAUUCCAGGUGUAGCGGUGAAAUGCGUAGAGAUCUGGAGGAAUACCGGUGGCGAAGGCGGCCCCCUGGACAAAGACUGACGCUCAGGUGCGAAAGCGUGGGGAGCAAACAGGAUUAGAUACCCCUGUAGUCCCUGUCUCUUAUAC
Molecule: ribosomal RNA, 301 nt
Filed under: uncultured bacterium
Lineage: Bacteria
Description: partial 16S ribosomal RNA
Rfam family: Bacterial small subunit ribosomal RNA
Source: RNAcentral